Long non-coding RNA from Tupaia belangeri chinensis (Chinese tree shrew), 409 nucleotides. RefSeq lists it as uncharacterized. The transcript is spliced from 3 exons. The record is from RefSeq and is a predicted model, not a curated record. NCBI's taxonomy places the organism in Eukaryota, Metazoa, Chordata, Mammalia, Scandentia, Tupaiidae.
AGAUGAGGCCGAGACAGAAGGAAACCAGGGUACAAGAGAUUGAAAGCUGAUCUAAAAUGGAAAGCACAGAUCCUACCUCUUUAAGCUGGUCCUGCCCUGAAAUGGAAGAAUCUGGCGGCUGCAGAUGGAAUGAGUCCCUUGGUCUUGAGUCCCUGUGUCUGCCACCUGAUGCCAUCCACUGAUCCAGACCAUUGGAGAAAACUGAAUUUUUCAUCGGAAUUACACAGCUACUUUUAGACAUCCACCCCGCCUUUUUGCAGCUCUGGUUAAGAACUAGAAUGUCUCGGUUCCCUCUCCCUCCCUGCCAGGCUCCAGCCCCCAGCCUCCCAGCUGGCCCUCCAAGAUCCUGGCGCCUCGCGUCCUCCCCUUUAAGGCCCGCCCUUCCCCCACACCCACGCCUCCCCAAGCC